UCCCAUAUGGUGUAGUGGUUAGCAUAACGCUCUCUCAUCUCGAUGAGUGUGCAGCGUAGACCCUGGUUCGAUUCCUGGUAUGGGAG
Non-coding RNA from Parascedosporium putredinis, 86 nucleotides. Lineage: Eukaryota; Fungi; Ascomycota; Sordariomycetes; Microascales; Microascaceae. The record is from the annotation of a GenBank genome assembly.